This 110-nucleotide non-coding RNA is filed under the name Chrysolophus pictus (golden pheasant). Lineage: Eukaryota; Metazoa; Chordata; Aves; Galliformes; Phasianidae. The record is from RNAcentral.
GUGUGAAAGAAGAAAAGGUUAGCACUUCCCUUGAUGAGGACGGAAGAUGACUUAGUGGCCUGCACAACACAGGCACUGCCACCUCCUUCAUGCCAUCUAACCAUGUUUUU